AUGGUUUCCUGGGAGUCUUCCCCCCACAGCAGCACCCCAUUGUCCUGGCUGCCAUGGCCUAGCAGCUGCACUCCAUUUUUGGAUGGUUCCCCCACAGCAGCACUCCACUCUCGGAUGGUUCCCCCACAGCAGCACUCCAUUUUUGGAUGGUUCCCCCACAGCAGCACUCCAGUCUCGGAUGGUUCCCCCACAGCAGCACUCCACUCUCGGAUGGUUCCCCCACAGCAGCACUCCAUUUUUGGAUGGUUCCCCCACAGCAGCACUCCACUCUCGGAUGGUUCCCCCACAGCAGCACUCCAUUUUUGGAUGGUUCCCCCACAGCAGCACUCCACUCUCGGAUGGUUCCCCCACAGCAGCACUCCAUUUUUGGAUGGUUCCCCCACAGCAGCACUCCACUCUCGGAUGGUUCCCCCACAGCAGCACUCCAUUUUUGGAUGGUUCCCCCACAGCAGCACUCCACUCUCGGAUGGUUCCCCCACAGCAGCACUCCAUUUUUGGAUGGUUCCCCCACAGCAGCACUCCAGUCUCGGAUGGUUCCCCCACAGCAGCGGGGCGCUGUCCCGCUGCCGGGCCCUAGGAGCUGCACUCCUCGCAGUGGCAGGAGAGGAUGUAGCGGUAGGUGGCCGUGAGCCGCAUGCCCCCCGAGCAGCGCAGCCUCAUGGCCUUCAGCUUGGAGGUCUGGGGGCGGCAGCAGUGGCAGCUGGAGCGGAAGGGCUGCUUGAGGACGGCGCUGAAGGAGACCAGGGGCUCGGAGCGCGAGCUCUGGCUGCAGCGGCCUUCGCAGCGAGCCAGCAGCACCAUCUGCCAAGGAAAACACAGCGUUAGGAGACCUGUCCCCAGCACACGGCUGGCACAGCUGGCAGCACCAUCUGCCAAGGAAAACACAGCGUUAGGAGACCUGUCCCCAGCAUACGGCUGGCACCAGGUGGGAGACUCCUUCCAGCCUGGUUUGGUCGCUGCAUCCCAGCCCCACACCCUGCUUUGCCCUGGGCUGUGUCUGAGACAGUGGAGGAGAUAACGUGGGUAUGAGGAAAAGCAAAAUUUCCCCCUGAAAUCCCUGGAGUUGGAACCCUGAAGCCUGGGAGUUUUGAACUUUCUGUGUUUUUCCGGCACUGAGCCUCAAAAGAAAGCUGCAUUUGACUUGAGGCCUUGGAGAAGGCUUCAAAUUUGAGUGAUGGAGUUGGAAUCACUGGUGUGUAGUUUGAAUAAAAGUGUGUUUCACAUGAUGAAGGAUUUGGAAUUUAGGGUUUUAGAAUAUAGCAAUAGGUACUAUUGCUAUAGAACGUUAUAGGGUGUUGUCUUUUUUUUCCUUCUUGUUCCUUCUUCUUCUUAGUUUUAGGUAGUAGUUUUUGGUUGGAUAGAAAGUACUGCACUGUGGGUCACAAGUGUUUGGUCAUUGGGUCAAAAGUAUAAUAUAAUUAUUAUAAUGUUAUAUAUAUAUAUAUAAUGUUAUAUACAUAUUCUAAUAUAAUUAUAAACAAUGUUAGUUUUUAAUUGGACAAUUAGCCUUUAAAAGAUGUAACUAGCUAGAUCCACCGACACUUUCACGCUUUCAGCUUGUUAGAAGUGCUGAAGAACUCACUGUACUAUAGAUAAGAAUGAAUAAACAGCUGAGUCCAAACACAAAAAUCCUCUCUCUCGUGCUUUCAAUCUCUGACUGAAGGCAGGAGGAAAAAAGAAGAUUAGUCACUAAUAUGUGGUGCCAGUAAUACCUGGCACUGACACCAAAGACUGCAGGACCUGGACUGGCCUUAGGGCUCCAAAUGAUCACAGCCAGUCCUGCUUUCCAGACACUGUGGCUGCAACUGCAUUGUGCUGACUCCAGAUCCAUGGCAGUCAAGCCCUUAAAUCAUCAGUCAGGCUGAUUCUUUGGUUGGAUAUUUACCAGUGUUUUGAGUAUACACACCACUGAUCAGCAGAACUGGUUCUCGUGUCUCAAGUUUAGAUAUAUGAACAUGUGAAGUAGAAAUAUGAAGAAGAUGCUCAGUGCAUUGCUUUAAAGAAAUAUGUUUCUAGCUCACUCUUUUGACAAAGAUCACCUUGAGCAUGUAUUUGCAAUUAUAUGUGUAUUGUAUCAGUUGUAUCUAUGUAAAAUGCACUGCAUAGCAUAAGGCAGUGAAAAUGUAAAAGUUGAACUGGUUGCCAAACAGGAAGAUUCCCUAGUGAGAUUUUCAAAAAACAGUGCAGCUCCAGGUUUCUUCUUCAGAGUUCAAAUGUGAGCUGUGACCAGAAGAAGGUAACUUGCACAACUGGAGACACUAAGGAAGGAAAGUCCAUGAGCAGUCACCUUCUCUCCAACAAGCCCUUGAGCAGAGAUACAGCAUUAAGCACUACAUAAAUCUUGAAAAGGACCCUCUAAAGCUCAGCAAAUGAUGUGUUAGAAACAGCUGUUACCACCUUGAUAACGGGUGCUGUACAAGUUUAAACAGACUCCUAUACUUUCAUGGGGACGGAAAUAUCAAAUCCAUGUCAGCUAAUUUUGCUUAACCAAUAUAAACUUCAAUAUCAGCUUAUUACAUCAUCUCAAGUAGGCAGUAAAACAGUUUUAAGUCUUUCCUAUAACCAAGGUAGAGCAUUACAUUUUAACUCUGCUACACAUAUCUCUUUUUUUUUCCCAGAAAAUCUGAAAGAAAAACUACAGACGUGACAGCAAACACUUUACAGCGCUAAACCUUUUUGAGCUUCUUUCAUUACACAAGCUCAACUGGAUGCAAAUCUCUAAGUUAUGCAGGCAGGUACAUUGAAUGUUUAAUUUUCUCUUUAGUCAGAGUUGUAAGGAAAGGGGAGAUAAAAGAGAGAGAAUAUUCCUGAAAUCAAGUAGGAAAUGCUGGCAUUGUCUGUGUCCACGGGAAAGGUUCUGAUCAUCCAUUGUACAGUGCUUAAAAAUUCUCUUCCAAGAGUGCUUGCAUGCUAAAUGUUUUGCUUGAAAAUGUAUUAAUGUAUUAAUACAUUAACAGCUACACUUCCAGUCAACAGAGAUCACAAAGAAAAUGUCUUCAUGAGAUGAUGAUCUGUGCUUGGUGCCAUCUUGCUUCUUAGUUAGAGAAGGGCUUUUGUUGCUUUCUGACAAACCUAUCAUCCUUUAAGAUUUGUAGCAUAAAUUUAUGGAGUCCUUCCUGUGGUAGUGCAUAUUCAUACAUAAAUUAACUUCAGCUGUUUGUACUAAUACGGUGGGAGGGAAAUUUCAGUGUAUUUUGAGUCACACCUGAGCUUCAGACCUAUCAGCUACACUAAGCUCCUUAAUAGCAGAGCCUUUAAUGAAUAGAGAACAUGAAAGGGACAAUCACUGCAGUGCUGUCACCCCAUUAUUCAGAUAAAGAUCCACUUUUUUCCCUCUUGGUAAACAAACUUCACUUCCCAGGCAGGCAGCUGGUGGAGGUACCUAAUUAGAUACCAGGAAUGCAGCUAUCUAAUCCUGCCUGUCUUGCAAGGGAAACGAGAAGACUGGGACAUUUAACCCAGUAAUUCCCUUCCCAGCAUCUUGACAGCUCUUGCUGUGUCCCCUGCUUUGACCAGUUCACCAGACUGUGCACUCUGUCACAAGCAGUUCCCAAAUGUUUGGCUGAAUCACAGAAUUACAGAAUUAACCAGGUUGGAAUAGACCUUGGAGAUUAUCAUUAAAUUUUGGGGAAAAAGAGCAAUCCAACAGCACCUGAUAACUGAAGGCUUUAAAGUCAACAGAGUUGAACUCUCCUCAGGAAUGGUACAGGGGGUUGUACAACAGCCAUAAAUUGCUUUUUGGGAGGUUCAGGGUAUCAUUUCUAUGAUUUCAGCCCAAAUGUGACAGCACACACUGCUGUAUAGUAGGGCUGACUCCUGAUGGUUGAUGCUUCUGGAGCUGGAAAAAUCACUUUCCAGAAAAAGUAUUUUCUGAUACUGUUACCCCAAGAAUUUUUAUGACACACAUCUGUAUCUGCAGGUGCUUUCAGAAAUGCCAAUAAAAAUAAAACCUGCCCUCAAGAAACCAGCAGGUCUAGAGAAGAGUUAUCCAGAGUAAUUGUAGAGUAGAAUUAUCUGAUGUGCCAAUAUCUCUGUCUCAAUAUCUUUCUCAUAAACAGCUGGCUUUCCUAAUGCAAACCCAGCCAAUAUUUAGUCAAUGUGCCACUUAAUUUCUAAUUUCUAAUUUCUAAUUUCUAAUUUCUAAUUUCUAAUUUCUAAUUUCUAAUUUCUAAUUUCUAAUUUCUAAUUUCUAAUUUCUAAUUUCUAAUUUCUAAUUUCUAAU
RNAcentral lists this long non-coding RNA (4222 nucleotides) under Ficedula albicollis (Collared flycatcher). RNAcentral describes it as "lncRNA (ENSFALG00000027871.1)". The record is from RNAcentral. Lineage: Eukaryota; Metazoa; Chordata; Aves; Passeriformes; Muscicapidae.